AACCCCAUUUUAGUACCACUACUUCUUCUCUCAGAACAAGUGGCUAUGCAAAUGGGGAAGAGCAACAACUGCUAUCGUCUGAAGGGGAAUGUGUCUGUCGCCUUCCCCUAUAUGAAAUAGCAGAACAUUUCAGG
Molecule: small nucleolar RNA, 134 nt
Organism: Hyla sarda
Lineage: Eukaryota; Metazoa; Chordata; Amphibia; Anura; Hylidae
Product: small nucleolar RNA SNORA29
Exons: 1
Source: RefSeq, a predicted model, not a curated record